GGACCGGCACCGCGCGUGCGUAGAGCUGUCAGCCGCACCCAGGCCGCGCUUCUAGCAAAGUUGCAAAGCAACGGGCAGACCUGUCAGAACGGUGAAGAUCCCGGCGAUGGAAAAAAGGCGAAACUGCUCCGCGUAGGCUGCUCGGAGUGGCAUCGCACCUUGUUCGAGUCCGAAGAAGUUCCCGCUUCUCUAAGCCGGCUGAAGGGAUGCGAGUCUCCUCUUGUCCCAACGGGACUGUGUCCUGACACAGAGUGGACUCCGCCCCAAGAGUGCGAGCGUCCUGAGCGUUCAGGGCAUCCUGAGCCGCGGAAGGCAUCCGGCCACACCCCGCUCUUUACCCGCCAACGCCAGCCCAGGUGGCCAGGCUCAGAAUGGACUGUGAGCCUGUGUGUUAUGCAUCUCUGGUUGUAGAGACAAAAGGACAAAGAUGGAACCCACCAAGGAUGCUCCCGGCUGAAUGAAUUGUUGUUCUCUGGCUUACACAAAGUCAAGCGAAUGAUCGUCCCAUGUUAUGUAAUAUAGCAACGGCCUGCUUACCUUACUCCUUUAAUCUACGUUAUUCUGGAAAGUAACACUUGAAAUAAAAAGUAGAUACAUUCUACUGGGAAUGUGACCCUCAGAGAAGGAAAGAAAGACCGAGGGGUUGAACCUGAACACGUGAAAGAGAAUCCAAGGUAAUUGGGGAAGCAUUGUCAAGAGCUCACUAGCUAUUUAAGAAAAAAGCAUCCCAUGUAUCUUAAUAAAUUUUGUCUGAUUGAUGGCUUUUUGAUGGGCCAGAGAGGAGUGAGAGAGAGCCAGAGAGACACAGAGACAGGCAGACAGACAGCAAGGAGGAGUUUUCUUCUCUAUCAGCAGCUAUCUCUGUGUGAGGGUUUCUCCCUUCAAAUGUCAAUUCUGCCAUCCCUGUAGGGAACCUGCUUGGUACUGCCACAUCAGAGAAGCCUCGGGUAAGGAGACUGGAUGCUUGGAAUCAUGGAUACUCAGAGCACUGUUAACAAAGAGCAGAGUCCAGUCUUCCAGAGUCAUGACCUGAAUCCAAAGUUGAAAAGAUCUGAGCAGUGUAUAAACAGCCUGUCAUAACCUGCAUAAUACAUUUUUAGUCCUGAAUAAAUCUAUUCACACUUCUUUCUAUAAUCAUACUUAUGUAGAUAAGGUUGGCAGGAGGAAGGUGAAGUAUAUUUGAAGGUAUAUGUUUAUAACAGCUUUAACCUCAAGUCAUGUUUAUUUAUAAGAGAAAACGACAGUGGAAUUUGGAAAAUUAAGAAAUGAUUCUUACCAGACAGUGGUGGCACACACCUUGAAUCCAGCACUUGGGAGAUGGAGGCAGGUAGUUCUCCAAUUUUGAGGACAGUCCAGUCUACAGAGUGCGUCAGAGGACAAUCACAGGACCACGUAGAGGAAUUUUAUCUCGAAAGAUUGAAAAAGUAAAGCCUGAUUCUACUCAAAAUGUUUGAGCAGUAGGGAGAGUGUCAGAUAUCUGGUCUCACACAGUCUCAUGAACAGCUGCUUUGGGGGAAGGGCCGAAGGAAGAAAACUCUCGUGUGAGCUUUAUAAAUUCUCGCCAUAGACUUUCCCUAAGAGACUCUUUCCUGUUCUCGUGAUGCACUAAUGACAGAAAUCAUAUGACUAAUGGAGAGAAACUGGUAGAUAUACAAGAAGAACUGCAUUGGGAUAACCGCCAUCUUACAAAGGGUCAGUGUUAACAUUUGUCAAUGUAUCCUGUGAUGAGUCAUUCAACUUGGUACAUGUUGAGUUCUAUAGAGUACAUGACACUCUUAUGCCUGUGAGCAAGCCAUAAUGUAAAAUAAUUCAUCC
Molecule: long non-coding RNA, 1815 nt
Organism: Mus musculus (house mouse)
Lineage: Eukaryota; Metazoa; Chordata; Mammalia; Rodentia; Muridae
Gene: Dubr
Product: Dppa2 upstream binding RNA
Exons: 2
Source: RefSeq, marked validated